GGACUACCCGGGUUUCUAAUCCUGUUUGCUCCCCACGCUUUCGUGCCUGAACGUCGGUGCUGGACCAGGAAGCCGCUUUCGCCACUGGUGUUCCUUCCGAUAUCUACGCAUUUCACCGCUACACCGGAAAUUCCGCUUCCCUCUUCCGCACCCUAGCAGAGCAGUCUCGAAUGCAAUUCCCAGGUUGAGCCCGGGGCUUUCACACCCGACUUACGCUACCGUCUACGCACGCUUUACGCCCAGUAAUUCCGAUUAACGCUUGCACCCUCUGUAUUACCGCGGCUGCUGGCAC
This 292-nucleotide ribosomal RNA is filed under the name uncultured bacterium. RNAcentral's name for it is "partial 16S ribosomal RNA". The record is from RNAcentral.